GGUUACGUUCAUACAACACCGAAUGUGCCGUAUCUCAUUCCGAAUUGCGAAGCCAAAUGGUGUUUGGCCUGUCCAGUACUCGGGAGGGGGACCACCGGGGAACCGCAUGGUGAUGUAACCU
This is a ribosomal RNA of Plasmodiophora brassicae, 121 nucleotides long. NCBI's taxonomy places the organism in Eukaryota, Endomyxa, Phytomyxea, Plasmodiophorida, Plasmodiophoridae. The record is from Rfam.